This 497-nucleotide ribosomal RNA is filed under the name uncultured bacterium. Its description in RNAcentral is "partial 16S ribosomal RNA". It matches the Rfam family "Bacterial small subunit ribosomal RNA", at positions 28 to 507 of the family's 1533-position model. The record is from RNAcentral.
GAUGAACGCUGGCGGCGUGCCUAAUACAUGCAAGUCGAGCGAACAGACGAGGAGCUUGCUCCUUUGACGUUAGCGGCGGACGGGUGAGUAACACGUAGGUAACCUACCUAUAAGACUGGGAUAACUUCGGGAAACCGGAGCUAAUACCGGAUAAUAUUUCGAACCGCAUGGUUCGAUAGUGAAAGAUGGCUUUGCUAUCACUUAUAGAUGGACCUGCGCCGUAUUAGCUAGUUGGUAAGGUAACGGCUUACCAAGGUAACGAUACGUAGCCGACCUGAGAGGGUGAUCGGCCACACUGGAACUGAGACACGGUCCAGACUCCUACGGGAGGCAGCAGUAGGGAAUCUUCCGCAAUGGGCGAAAGCCUGACGGAGCAACGCCGCGUGAGUGAUGAAGGUCUUCGGAUCGUAAAACUCUGUUAUUAGGGAAGAACAAACGUGUAAGUAACUGUGCACGUCUUGACGGUACCUAAUCAGAAAGCCACGGCUAACUACGUG